AAUAUAUACAUAUACACACAUAUACACUUACAUAUAUGUAUAUACAUAUAUAUAGACAAACACACACACCACACGCAAACAACAAUUUCUCAUCUACAAUUCAUCUCAAUAAAGAGCUUUUUUCCUCUUCUCCCAAGCUUUAUCUAGGUAAUUGGCUAAUUUAUGUUUCAUAUGUGAACAGCAAUCUCAGUCUUUGAGCAUCAUCCAUAUUUACCAAAUCAAUCUCUGCUUUUAUCCUACGAAACAAAAAAAUCACGCUGUUCACAAUAAAAAGGACAAUAGAAAACAAAAUGGAACUCAUUUUCUAUAUAUGUAUAAAUAUUUUACUUAUGUGAAUGAUCUAAAUAAUUCUUCCACCACUGCACGUAUGUACUAUUGUACUAUGUAUGAUAUUUAAUUAAUAUUACAGUAAAAAAAAAAAAAUCUUGAUAAUAAAAUAAAUUACUGUUGUGAAUAUCUUGUCUUGUAAAAUGAAACUGAAAAUCCUCUCCUCUCUCCCUCCAAUGCUCUUGUCUGCCUCCUCUCUACGUUGCUGCUGGACCAUCAGUGUUGGUUACCCCCGUGGCAACUCGACAGUGUGCAGCUGCCCUCCAGCUCCUCUCCAUCUCCCUCUCCAUCUCCCUCUACUUCUAUCACAUCUGUCUUUACUGGCCCUUCUAUCCACUCUAUCUAUUAUUGGUUCUCUUCACCUCUCUCCUAUAACAUCUACCACUCAUCCCUAAUAUUAUUGGUUCUCUUCACCUCUCUCCUAUCACCCUCUACCCACUCAUCCCUUAAUAUAAGGUUUUCUAUCUCUCCUGUCAAAUCUAAUAAAUCUAUCUAAAUUUGA
Long non-coding RNA from Sander lucioperca (pikeperch), 829 nucleotides. RefSeq lists it as uncharacterized. NCBI's taxonomy places the organism in Eukaryota, Metazoa, Chordata, Actinopteri, Perciformes, Percidae. The transcript is spliced from 2 exons. The record is from RefSeq and is a predicted model, not a curated record.